AGAGUUUGAUCAUGGCUCAGGAUGAACGCUGGCGGCGUGCCUAACACAUGCAAGUCGAGCGAUUCACUUCGGUGAAGAGCGGCGGACGGGUGAGUAACGCGUGGGUAACCUGCCUCAUACACAUGGAUAACAUACCGAAAGGUAUGCUAAUACAAGAUGAUAUAAGAGAUUCGCAUGGAUUUCUUAUCAAAGCUCCGGCAGUAUGAGAUGGACCCGCGUCUGAUUAGCUAGUUGGUAAGGUAACGGCUUACCAAGGCGACGAUCAGUAGCCGACCUGAGAGGGUGAUCGGCCACAUUGGAACUGAGACACGGUCCAAACUCCUACGGGAGGCAGCAGUGGGGAAUAUUGCACAAUGGGCGAAAGCCCGAUGCAGCAACGCCGCGUGAGCGAUGAAGGCCUUCGGGUCGUAAAGCUCUGUCCUCAAGGAAGAUAAUGACGGUACUUGAGGAGGAAGCCCCGGCUAACUACGUGCCAGCAGCCGCGGUAAUACGUAGGGGGCUAGCGUUAUCCGGAAUUACUGGGCGUAAAGGGUGCGUAGGUGGUUUCUUAAGUCAGAGGUGAAAGGCUACGGCUCAACCGUAGUAAGCCUUUGAAACUGGGAAACUUGAGUGCAGGAGAGGAGAGUGGAAUUCCUAGUGUAGCGGUGAAAUGCGUAGAUAUUAGGAGGAACACCAGUUGCGAAGGCGGCUCUCUGGACUGUAACUGACACUGAGGCACGAAAGCGUGGGGAGCAAACAGGAUUAGAUACCCUGGUAGUCCACGCCGUAAACGAUGAGUACUAGCUGUCGGAGGUUACCCCCUUCGGUGGCGCAGCUAACGCAUUAAGUACUCCGCCUGGGAAGUACGCUCGCAAGAGUGAAACUCAAAGGAAUUGACGG
This 879-nucleotide ribosomal RNA is filed under the name uncultured bacterium. RNAcentral describes it as "bacterial SSU rRNA". It matches the Rfam family "Bacterial small subunit ribosomal RNA", at positions 8 to 916 of the family's 1533-position model. The record is from RNAcentral.